This 25-nucleotide non-coding RNA is filed under the name Drosophila melanogaster (fruit fly). Lineage: Eukaryota; Metazoa; Arthropoda; Insecta; Diptera; Drosophilidae. The record is from RNAcentral. RNAcentral also lists the same sequence under 3 other names.
UAGCUCAGUUGGUAGAGCGGAGGAC